This 497-nucleotide ribosomal RNA is filed under the name uncultured bacterium. RNAcentral's name for it is "partial 16S ribosomal RNA". It matches the Rfam family "Bacterial small subunit ribosomal RNA", at positions 28 to 507 of the family's 1533-position model. The record is from RNAcentral.
GAUGAACGCUGGCGGCGUGCCUAAUACAUGCCAGUCGAGCGAACGGACAAGAAGCUUUUUUCUUUGAGGUUAGCGGGGGACGGGUGAGUAAGGCGUGGAUAAGAUACUUAUAAGACUGGGAUAAUUUCGGGAAAACGUAUCUAAUAACAGAUAAUAUUUUGAACCUGUGGGUUCAAAAGUGAAAGAGGGUUUUGGUGUUUGUUUUAGAUGGUUCCGGGUUGGAUUAGCUAGUUGGUAAGGUAACGGCCUACCAAGGCAACGAUGCAUAGCUGAGCUGAGAGGAUGAUCAGCCACACUGGAACUGAGACACGUUCCAGACUCCUACGGGAGGCAGCAGUAGGGAAUCUUCCGCAAUGGGCGAAAGCCUGACGGAGCAACGCCGCGUGAGUGAUGAAGGUCUUCGGAUCGUAAAACUCUUUUAUUAGGGAAGAACAUAUGUGUAAUUAACUGUGCACAUCUUGACGGUACCUAAUCAGAAAGCCACGGCUAACUACGUG